RNAcentral lists this unclassified non-coding RNA (179 nucleotides) under uncultured fungus. Its description in RNAcentral is "sequence contains ITS1, 5.8S rRNA gene". Lineage: Eukaryota; Fungi. The record is from RNAcentral.
ACAAAUCAUGCGCUGGCCUUUUGGCCGCGUACAUUCACCCAAAGCCUCAUGCGCAUGCGUGGGGCUCUUGUGGUUCGGGUUGUGUGCUGUGCAGUAUGCUCUGCAUAUAUAUACGCACACACGCAUACCCAAAACAUAGACGCUUGCAUGUUUGACUGUAUCAUUGGCAACAAAAUGGA